Molecule: ribosomal RNA, 474 nt
Filed under: Neobacillus drentensis
Lineage: Bacteria; Bacillati; Bacillota; Bacilli; Caryophanales; Bacillaceae
Description: bacterial SSU rRNA
Rfam family: Bacterial small subunit ribosomal RNA
Source: RNAcentral
UAGAGUUUGAUCCUGGCUCAGGACGAACGCUGGCGGCGUGCCUAAUACAUGCAAGUCGAGCGGAUUGAUGGGAGCUUGCUCCCUGAUAUCAGCGGCGGACGGGUGAGUAACACGUGGGCAACCUGCCUGUAAGACUGGGAUAACUUCGGGAAACCGGAGCUAAUACCGGAUAAUCCUUUUCCUCACAUGAGGAAAAGCUGAAAGACGGUUUCGGCUGUCACUUACAGAUGGGCCCGCGGCGCAUUAGCUAGUUGGUGAGGUAACGGCUCACCAAGGCGACGAUGCGUAGCCGACCUGAGAGGGUGAUCGGCCACACUGGGACUGAGACACGGCCCAGACUCCUACGGGAGGCAGCAGUAGGGAAUCUUCCACAAUGGACGAAAGUCUGAUGGAGCAACGCCGCGUGAGCGAUGAAGGCCUUCGGGUCGUAAAGCUCUGUUGUUAGGGAAGAACAAGUAUCGGAGUAACUGCCGG